CCUACGGGUGGCAGCUGUGGGGAAUAUUGGACAAUGGGCGAAAGCCUGAUCCAGCCAUGCCGCGUGUGUGAAGAAGGCCUUCGGGUUGUAAAGCACUUUCAGUGGGGAAGAAAGCCUUGGGGCUAAUACCCUCGAGGAAGGACAUCACCCACAGAAGAAGCACCGGCUAACUCCGUGCCAGCAGCCGCGGUAAUACGGAGGGUGCGAGCGUUAAUCGGAAUUACUGGGCGUAAAGCGCGCGUAGGCGGUCUGAUAAGCCGGUUGUGAAAGCCCCGGGCUCAACCUGGGAACGGCAUCCGGAACUGUCAGGCUAGAGUGCAGGAGAGGAAGGUAGAAUUCCCGGUGUAGCGGUGAAAUGCGUAGAGAUCGGGAGGAAUACCAGUGGCGAAGGCGGCCUUCUGGACUGACACUGACGCUGAGGUGCGAAAGCGUGGGUAGCAAACAGGAUUAGAUACCCCGGUAGUC
RNAcentral lists this ribosomal RNA (465 nucleotides) under Vreelandella stevensii. RNAcentral's name for it is "partial 16S ribosomal RNA". It matches the Rfam family "Bacterial small subunit ribosomal RNA", at positions 338 to 795 of the family's 1533-position model. The record is from RNAcentral. Lineage: Bacteria; Pseudomonadati; Pseudomonadota; Gammaproteobacteria; Oceanospirillales; Halomonadaceae.